CAGGGAGACAAUUAAUUGAUUGUGAUGUCUAGGUAAAUUAUUCUUAGGCCACAAUCCUGUCACCUUAGGUCGAUCGGUACCUCAGAUUUUUGAAUUAAUUUUAUAAUUAAUCCUUUAAUUUCAGUUCCUAAACUUGUCUAGGUCACACCCAACAAGGGUUUCUCCUGGGCCAUUAGCUCAGGUGGUUAGAGCGCACCCCUGAUAAGGGUGAGGUCCCUGGUUCAAGUCCAGGAUGGCCCAUUCGUUGUUGGGGGUAUAGCUCAGUUGGUAGAGCGCCUGCUUUGCAAGCAGGAUGUCAGCGGUUCGAGUCCGCUUACCUCCACUGAAACUACCCUGAUAAAUGAAUUUCAGGAGAAAAUUUGUAAUGUGACUUAGUGUUGUUUAUUGAAAAAGAACCUAGCUUCUUAUCAUCUUUUUUAGUUGAUAAUAUGCUGGGCUCACAUGGAUUCUUCCAUGCGAUUUCAGUAGAACCUUGAAAACUGCAUAGAUAGAAAGAAUAAAGCAUCUCAUGGAUGCAUAAUUCUGUUUUUUAUUUUGGUUUAAAAGCCAGAGUAAUAUUUUCAGAAUUCAUGUUUAAUUCUUGAGUAAUAGCCGAGCACAAUUAAUUGAUUUUGUGUUUGUAUUUAA
RNAcentral lists this transfer RNA (627 nucleotides) under uncultured Prochlorococcus sp. Its description in RNAcentral is "partial 16S-23S ribosomal RNA intergenic spacer". The stretch from base 250 to 322 matches the Rfam family "tRNA". Lineage: Bacteria; Bacillati; Cyanobacteriota; Cyanophyceae; Synechococcales; Prochlorococcaceae. The record is from RNAcentral.